Long non-coding RNA from Pan paniscus (pygmy chimpanzee), 1071 nucleotides. The record is from Ensembl. NCBI's taxonomy places the organism in Eukaryota, Metazoa, Chordata, Mammalia, Primates, Hominidae.
CUCAAAAUUCCAAAGGAAAAUUAUUUCCAAGAUAAAACUCCAAACAUCAUGAAACUAUAUGACUAAGGGAGAAAAAAGACAUUUUCAGAUAAGCAAGAUCUCAAAUAAUUUGCCUCCCAUGCAACCUUUCUCAUGAAACUACUUGAGGAUGUGCUCCAUCAAAACAAGAUAGUAAACCAAGACAUAGGAAGAUAUGAAGUACAGGAAACAGAGUCAACACAGGAAGAAGAGUAAGGAAUUUCCCUCCAGGAUGGCAAAGGAGAUCCCAGGGUGAUAGCUGCACCAGAAGUCGAGAGUACCCAGUCUAGAUUGGAGCUGUGUGAUUCAAGAGACAGACAUGUUAAAGGAUGUUUGAGCAAUACCCCUGAAGCCAUGGAAUGGUUUUGUGAAUCUGAGGACAGAAUGGCCAGGCUGCAUGGUUGGAAGGUGAUGUCUGCAGGCUUCUUCCAGGCUACCAGAAGAAAGCCUGAACUAAUUUCCUGGAGGGAAAACAAAGGCCCCACCUUGAACAAAUCCCAAGGCCAAGGGAAAUCCUUGCUUCCCACAUUUCUACAGCUGCCCCACCUCCAAGUGUGGCUCAUACCCCCACCUGUGCACCCAGUACACCUGGCUGGAUUUCACGGUGGGAGGAUGACCUUUUUCCCUGAGUAUCAAUGUUUUGGGCUCUGAAAGAUUCUCAAAGUGUCCACCAAGAAGCCCUGUCUUAUAGACCUACUGCAGGCCUGCUCUGGAUAAACUUGUGAAUGAGAUGAAAUCCAGCUUCUUUUGGCCCAUUCAGUGAUCCUUUUCCCCAGCAUUUUGUCAACUGGCUGUUGACUGCAGUUUACCUUGCUAACUGAGACCAUAUUUCCAAAGGGAAAGUACAUUAAGACAUGAGGGAUCUGUGGAGCUUGGGUACAGUGGCUUAUGCUUGUAAUCCCAGCACUUUGGGAGGCCAAGGCAGGAGGAUCGCUUGAGGCCAGAAGUUUGAGACCAGCCUAGGCAAUAUAGGGAGACCCCAUCUCUAAAAAAAAAAACUAAGACUAGCACACAACUGUAGUCCCAGCUACUCUGGAGGCUAGGAGGAAGGAG